Molecule: transfer RNA, 73 nt
Filed under: Stegodyphus mimosarum
Lineage: Eukaryota; Metazoa; Arthropoda; Arachnida; Araneae; Eresidae
Rfam family: tRNA
About the family: Transfer RNA (tRNA) molecules are approximately 80 nucleotides in length.
Source: Rfam by way of RNAcentral
GCCUUCGUGGUGUAAUGGUCAGCACACUGAGCCGGUAUUUCAGAGGUCCGCGGUUCGAUUCCCGGCAAAGGCG